RNAcentral lists this ribosomal RNA (253 nucleotides) under uncultured bacterium. Its description in RNAcentral is "partial 16S ribosomal RNA". It matches the Rfam family "Bacterial small subunit ribosomal RNA", at positions 524 to 776 of the family's 1533-position model. The record is from RNAcentral.
UACGGGGGGGGCAAGCGUCGUUCGGAAUUACUGGGCGUAAAGGGCUCGUAGGUGGCCAACUAAGUCAGACGUGAAAUCCCCAGGCUUAACCUGGGAACUGCGUCUGAUACUGGAUGGCUUGAAUUCGGGAGAGGGAUGCAGAAUUCCAGGUGUAGCGGUGAAAUGCGUAGAUAUCUGGAGGAAUACCGGUGGCGAAGGCGGCAUCCUGGACCGAGAUUGACACUGAUGAGCGAAAGCUAGGGGAGCAAACGGG